UACGAAGGGGGCUAGCGUUGCUCGGAAUCACUGGGCGUAAAGCGCACGUAGGCGGCUUUCUAAGUCAGGGGUGAAAUCCUGGAGCUCAACUCCGGAACUGCCUUUGAUACUGGAGAGCUUGAGUCCGGAAGAGGUGAGUGGAACUCCGAGUGUAGAGGUGAAAUUCGUAGAUAUUCGGAAGAACACCAGUGGCGAAGGCGGCUCACUGGUCCGGUACUGACGCUGAGGUGCGAAAGCGUGGGGAGCAAACAGG
This 253-nucleotide ribosomal RNA is filed under the name uncultured bacterium. RNAcentral describes it as "partial 16S ribosomal RNA". It matches the Rfam family "Bacterial small subunit ribosomal RNA", at positions 524 to 776 of the family's 1533-position model. The record is from RNAcentral.